Long non-coding RNA from Stylophora pistillata, 839 nucleotides. The record is from RefSeq and is a predicted model, not a curated record. Lineage: Eukaryota; Metazoa; Cnidaria; Anthozoa; Scleractinia; Pocilloporidae.
CUUCAAUUUCAAAAUUGCGCGUGUCCUAUAGUCAACUGGAGAACUUAAUCAAAAUCCUUUGCUAGAGGUUUGAAACUACCAGAGCAUAAUGAACGCCCGUAUGACAUCAGUUCCUUACAGGAUUUUUCUGUUGAUUGGUCUCAUUUAUCAGGUGCACCAAGUGACAACUCUCUCCAGCAGAUCAGGUAAAAUGACGUGAACAGACCGGCGAUCAAAAUUACAAACUACUCUUUGGUCGGGAGCAUUUACAUCAGGCUCAACGUCAAGUGUUAUUCGUAUGUACCGACAACUAUGAACGACUCGUGAUGUGUCGGGAGUCCUUUUUUUUUUAAAGAAAUAUCACAUAACAUGGUGCAUGGGACGAUUUAACGGACAACUGUCCUGCAAAAAGACUUUCCUGGUUUUGAAAGUGAUUAACAACCAGUGGGAAUUUUAUCGAGCCCUUAAAGUUAACCUCUUUUCCCUUUAUAGAAGUCAUUUGACAGUAAAAAAAAUUGUCCAUAGUCGUUAGCCUUACCUCUGCUUUUAAGUGAAGUUUAAAGUAAUGCUAUGGAUAAUGAGUGCAUGGCAUUGACUAGACUCUUAAGAUUGCGAGCCCUGUGCUUGCUUUGUAAUUUUACCCGCGGUAACUUAGGAUUCUCUUUUGGUAUUAGAGAGGGGGCUAUUCAUGUUAAGGGCUGCAUACUUCAUUUCUUAUUCAAUGAAAUGGUUGUUUGCCUGGGAAACUGAAUUCAGUCCAUCAGAUUAUUUGGUUAUGAAAGUCGUUUCGGGAAGACUUCAAGAGCAAGAAAAGUCCCCUCCUUUAACUUAAGGAAAAAGACUGACUUUACAAAAAAAAA